This 521-nucleotide ribosomal RNA is filed under the name uncultured bacterium. RNAcentral describes it as "bacterial SSU rRNA". It matches the Rfam family "Archaeal small subunit ribosomal RNA", at positions 345 to 866 of the family's 1478-position model. The record is from RNAcentral.
AACCUCCGCAAUGUGAGAAAUCGCGACGGGGGGAUCCCAAGUGCCAUUCUUAACGGGAUGGCUUUUCAUUAGUGUAAAGAGCUUUUGGAAUAAGAGCUGGGCAAGACCGGUGCCAGCCGCCGCGGUAACACCGGCAGCUCUAGUGGUAACAAUUUUUAUUGGGCCUAAAGCGUCCGUAGCCGGUUUAAUAAGUCUCUGGUGAAAUCCUGUAGCUUAACUGUGGGAAUUGCUGGAGAUACUAUUAGACUUGAGACCGGGAGAGGUUAGAGGUACUCCCAGGGUAGAGGUGAAAUUCUGUAAUCCUGGGAGGACCGCCUGUUGCGAAGGCGUCUAACUGGAACGGUUCUGACAGUGAGGGACGAAAGUUAGGGGCGCGAACCGGAUUAGAUACCCGGGUAGUCCUAACUGUAAACGAUGCGGACUUGGUGUUGGGGUGGCUUUGAGCUGCUCCAGUGCCGAAGGGAAGCUGUUAAGUCCGCCGCCUGGGAAGUACGGUCGCAAGACUGAAACUUAAAGGAAUU